Molecule: ribosomal RNA, 404 nt
Filed under: uncultured bacterium
Lineage: Bacteria
Description: partial 16S ribosomal RNA
Rfam family: Bacterial small subunit ribosomal RNA
Source: RNAcentral
GACGAACGCUGGCGGCGUGCUUAACACAUGCAAGUCGAACAGUGGCGAACGGGUGAGUAAUAUAUCGGAACGUGCCCAGUAGCGGGGGAUAACUACUCGAAAUAGUGGCUAAUACCGCCUACUAUUGGAGCGGCCGAUAUCGGAUUAGCGAGUUGGGGGGGUAAAGGAUCACCAAGGCAACGAUCCGUAGCUGGUUUGAGAGGACGACCAGACACACUGGGACUGAGACACGGCCCAGACUCCUACGGGAGGCAGCAGUGGGGAAUUGUGGACAAUGGGGGAAACCCUGAUCCAUCCAUCCCGCGUGUAUGAGAAGGCCUUCGGGUUGUAAAGGACUUUUGGCAGAGAAGCGGUAUCUGCAGAAUAAGCACCGGCUAACUACGUGCCAGCAGCCGCGGUAAUUC